UACUUCUUCCUCCUUUACCAAUCACCAUAAUUGGCACUCGUCGCACAGUAGAGAUAGAGAGAGACAGAGGGUUCCGAGGGAUCUACUGCUCCCGUUAAUCAAUUUCUUUAAACCCUCUCCAUCGUUCGUAGCUUUGGUUUGUUUUCGCGAUUCGCUAUUGUUUUAUAAGUAUUUAUCAGUGCGAGAAUACGAAAAGAUGCUUCCUCUUUCGUUGCUCAAGUCUGCACAAGGACACC
Long non-coding RNA from Salvia splendens (bonfire salvia), 236 nucleotides. RefSeq lists it as uncharacterized. NCBI's taxonomy places the organism in Eukaryota, Viridiplantae, Streptophyta, Magnoliopsida, Lamiales, Lamiaceae. The record is from RefSeq and is a predicted model, not a curated record. The transcript is spliced from 3 exons.